This 992-nucleotide ribosomal RNA is filed under the name uncultured bacterium. RNAcentral's name for it is "bacterial SSU rRNA". It matches the Rfam family "Bacterial small subunit ribosomal RNA", at positions 110 to 1099 of the family's 1533-position model. The record is from RNAcentral.
GUAAUGCCUAGGAAUCUGCCUAGUGGUGGGGGAUAACGUUCGGAAACGGACGCUAAUACCGCAUACGUCCUACGGGAGAAAGCGGGGGACCUUCGGGCCUCGCGCCAUUAGAUGAGCCUAGGUCGGAUUAGCUAGUUGGUGAGGUAAUGGCUCACCAGGGCGACGAUCCGUAACUGGUCUGAGAGGAUGAUCAGUCACACUGGAACUGAGACACGGUCCAGACUCCUACGGGAGGCAGCAGUGGGGAAUAUUGGACAAUGGGCGAAAGCCUGAUCCAGCCAUGCCGCGUGUGUGAAGAAGGUCUUCGGAUUGUAAAGCACUUUAAGUUGGGAGGAAGGGUAGUAACUUAAUACGUUGCUACUUUGACGUUACCGACAGAAUAAGCACCGGCUAACUUCGUGCCAGCAGCCGCGGUAAUACGAAGGGUGCAAGCGUUAAUCGGAAUUACUGGGCGUAAAGCGCGCGUAGGUGGUUCAGUAAGUUGGAAGUGGAAUCCCCGGGCUCAACCUGGGAACUGCUUUCAAAACUGCUGAGCUAGAGUACGGUAGAGGGUGGUGGAAUUUCCUGUGUAGCGGUGAAAUGCGUAGAUAUAGGAAGGAACACCAGUGGCGAAGGCGACCACCUGGACUGAUACUGACACUGAGGUGCGAAAGCGUGUGGAGCAAACAGGAUUAGAUACCCUGGUAGUCCACGCCGUAAACGAUGUCAACUAGCCGUUGGGAGUCUUGAACUCUUAGUGGCGCAGCUAACGCAUUAAGUUGACCGCCUGGGAGUACGGCCGCAAGGUUAAAACUCAAAUGAAUUGACGGGGGCCCGCACAAGUGGUGGAGCAUGUGGUUUAAUUCGAAGCAACGCGAAGAACCUUACCUGGCCUUGACAUGCUGAGAACUUUCUAGAGAUAGAUUGGUGCCUUCGGGAACUCAGACACAGGUGCUGCAUGGCUGUCGUCAGCUCGUGUCGUGAGAUGUUGGGUUAAGUCCCGUGACGAGCGC